Molecule: ribosomal RNA, 477 nt
Filed under: Candidatus Scalindua brodae
Lineage: Bacteria; Pseudomonadati; Planctomycetota; Candidatus Brocadiia; Candidatus Brocadiales; Candidatus Scalinduaceae
Description: bacterial SSU rRNA
Rfam family: Bacterial small subunit ribosomal RNA
Source: RNAcentral
UUCGCAAUGCCCGAAAGGGUGACGAAGCGACGCCGCGUGGGUGAGGAAGGCCUUCGGGUUGUAAAGCCCUGUCAGGAGUUAAGAAAUGUAGAUUCGCUAAUAUCGGGUCUAUUUGACAAAGGCUCCAAAGGAAGCCACGGCUAACUCUGUGCCAGCAGCCGCGGUAAUACAGAGGUGGCAAGCGUUGUUCGGAAUUAUUGGGCGUAAAGAGCACGUAGGUGGAUUUGUAAGUCAGAUGUGAAAGCCUUCUGUUCAACGGGAGAAUUGCAUCUGAAACUACAGACCUUGAGUGUAGGAGGGGAGAAUGGAACUUCUGGUGGAGCGGUGAAAUGCGUAGAUAUCAGAAGGAACGCCGGCGGCGAAAGCGAUUCUCUGGCCUAUUACUGACACUCAGUGUGCGAAAGCUAGGGGAGCAAACGGGAUUAGAUACCCCGGUAGUCCUAGCCGUAAACGAUGGGCACUAAGUAGAGGGGUUUU